GACGAACGCUGGCGGCGUGCUUAACACAUGCAAGUCGAACGGAAAGGCCCUGCUCUUGUGGGGUGCUCGAGUGGCGAACGGGUGAGUAACACGUGAGUAACCUGUCCUUGACUUUGGGAUAACUUCAGGAAACUGGGGCUAAUACCGGAUAGGAGCUCCUGCUGCAUGGGGGGGGUUGGUAAGUUUCGGUGGUUGGGGGUUGACUGGCGGGUUAUCCGCUUGUUGGGGGGGUUGUGGCUUUCCCAGGUUUUCAAGGGUACGCGGCCUGAGGGGGUGACCGGCCACAUUGGGACUGAGAUACGGCCCAAACUCCUACGGGAGGCAGCAGUGGGGAAGAUUGCACAAUGGGCGGAAGCCUGAUGAAGCAGCGCCGCGUGCGGGAUGACGGCCUUCGGGUUGUAGACCACAUUCGCCUGUGACGAAGCGUGAGUGACGGUAAUGGGUAAAGAAGAACCGGCUAACUACGUG
This 468-nucleotide ribosomal RNA is filed under the name uncultured bacterium. Its description in RNAcentral is "partial 16S ribosomal RNA". It matches the Rfam family "Bacterial small subunit ribosomal RNA", at positions 28 to 507 of the family's 1533-position model. The record is from RNAcentral.